ACAUACGACCAUAGACUCAAGAGAAUUGGGCAUCCCGUCCGCUCUGCCAUACACAAGCUUGAGAUCGGUGGAUUAGUAGUUGGGUGGGUGACCACCAGCGAAUACCCACUGUUGUAUG
Molecule: ribosomal RNA, 118 nt
Filed under: Pseudogymnoascus sp. 24MN13
Lineage: Eukaryota; Fungi; Ascomycota; Leotiomycetes; Thelebolales; Thelebolaceae
Source: RNAcentral